This is a long non-coding RNA of Trichomycterus rosablanca, 404 nucleotides long. RefSeq lists it as uncharacterized. Lineage: Eukaryota; Metazoa; Chordata; Actinopteri; Siluriformes; Trichomycteridae. The record is from RefSeq and is a predicted model, not a curated record. The transcript is spliced from 3 exons.
GAGCACGGUGAGAGAGAGCGAGAGAGAGAGGGAGGGAAGCCCGAGUCGACACACGAGAGGAGAUCAUUCACUCGUGGAAGAAAAUCUAUGUGCAAGAUGCAAGAGAACAUGCCGAACUCCUUACAGACAGGACACUUAAGCUGUGCAGCACCCACUAUCUGCUAUGCCACAGUGCCACAUAGAAUUAUUAGACAAGCAUAAGUCACUGUCUGCAAGGAGUUGGGCAGCCGUCCCCAAGUCUGUGUUGGUUUCCUUCCACCUGCUAAAACAUGUAGAAGGUGUGUUAGAUACUUCUAAGUUUGCAUAAGUAAGUAAACGUGUGUGUGUGUGCGUGCGUGUGUGUGUGUGUGUGUGUGUGUGUGUGCACGCCCUGUGCAGGGUUUAAUCCUACCUUGUAUCCAGUU